Molecule: long non-coding RNA, 2023 nt
Organism: Tyto alba (common barn owl)
Lineage: Eukaryota; Metazoa; Chordata; Aves; Strigiformes; Tytonidae
Exons: 7
Source: RefSeq, a predicted model, not a curated record
AAUGACAGAAUUGGAAAACCUACGUACUUUGACAGAAUUCAGAGGACUGGAAGGCUUUGUCUGAAAACUAAAACUUACUGAUUUGAAAAAUAUUACUGUAGUACUCCUCCAACAUUAUAAUCUGUACUCCUGUUGGUCCUAUUCUGCAAGGCUGAGGCUGCCUACCACCUUCGACACUGUGCCAUGAUCGUUCCUCUGAAUGGAGUGCUGGAAGUAGGGAAUCCCUCAAAGUGAUCUUUUAUCAGAGCUGUCAUUUAAAUGGUAAAUCUAAUUGAUAGAGGAGAUCUGCCCCAUAAAGCAGUUGAGGCAUCUCUGUGCUGAACUGUCUCAUCUGAAAGAGCCUGACAGCAAAUGAAGACAGAGAAGUAUCCUUUGAUGAGAAAAUGCAAAUCCCAAACAAAACAUUUGCAGAACUACUAAUCACCAUUUCCGUACAACUGAGCAAUGAUGUGGUAUUUAUUAUAGAAUGACUCAAAGAUCAAACAUUCCCUGAAGUGUGGUAGAAGGCAGGAAGAAUGACAUUUGCUAAUUUGAAUUUCAGAAAGCACCUAAACCACAUUCUGAUCUCCAGCUCUUAAUCACUGGUUUUACUGGUGACCAGAAGAAUAAGUUUGAAAUGGAAUCAGAUUAAGCAAAGACUCAGAUACUGAAGACGAAAAUUCAGAUCCAGACUUCCUCAGAGAAAGUAUGUGUUUGGUGGAACUGACUCCUGCUUUGAAGAAAGAAUGAAUGAUAUGAGGACUAAAAUGUCUUUGGGGAAAGCUCUGGAAUGGAAGGGAACCACCCCAAGAAGAGACUGAAGGUCAAAUAUAUGGCAUUGUUUUGGAAUGUGGGUUAUUCAGAGGGUAGCCAAGAAUAUGGAAGAGAAAUGUGAGGGAAACAAAUAGGAUAAAAGUAAUGGAAAGUUGGAAAAUAAAGGUAAGGUUCAUCUCAGCUAAAGCUGAAUGUGUUUGUCUGCCUGUAAAUAGAUGCAUCUUUCUGAAUGAGUUAUCCUAAACUUUCUUUGUGUACUCACAGGAGGCAAAUAUAAUCUUGAACUUCCCUGUUAGAAUAAAUAGAAUUACCCUUCUAGAGGUGUUUCUCUGUCUCCAUUAACUGGAGGACCCGUGAGCUGCUCACCACAGACAUGGAUGUAUAAUAAUCUCACUCAGUUUUUUUAUUUUUACUAUAUUUUAAACUUAAAACAUCUGUGACAAUUAGAAAAGAACUGGUCUUUUUAAAAAUUUUAGUACUAUGAAAAUCCUCCUAAUUCUCCUCUUCUGUAAUGAACCUACACUUCAUUCCCUGCUCUCACUUUGAUUCCCUGAAUAUGAAAGUUUCCAUAAAGUCAUAUCAUAUAUAUACAGGAGUAAGGGUGUUAGCAGGAUAAGCAACUCUUGAGGUGAGGGUUAGAAGUUGUUUAUAAGUAAGUCCUGUAAAAAUACAUGUACAUUUUCUUUUGCAUUUGGAAUAUACAAGUCAGAAUCUCAUGUAGUCUUACAGAGUAAAUAAAUGGCAGACUCAUAUUUGAAUUUGAAAGUGGACUGUAAAUCUGUGUAUUCUUGGCAUUAUCUGGCUUCAGAAAGGUUACAGGCAUAUGGGACUAGUUUUUCUCAUAGACUUUUCUAUUUGACAAUAUGAUACGCUGAGAUAUGGAAGAGUCUGACAUAUCUGUGUCCCUGCAAACAUCUGGAUGGGGUAGGCAGAGCUGUUAUGGUUCACCAAAACCUGGCUUCCAUAUGUUAUAUCCUUCCACUGGGGUCUCUGGAUUGCAUCAUGGGGUCUGGAUUUGUAAAUCUCUGUAGGCAUCAAAUCUAUUCAUAACAAGUGGUUUUGAUUGACAUGUGAGCAGCUGUGAUAAACUGAAAGGAAAAAACUGAAAUGCAGACUGCUGACUGACAUUAUUUCUCAGCAUUGUGCCAGCUUGUUAUAACAGCAAAAUCUGUUUUAAGAAAAAUAAACAGUAGGAACUUUGCAAACUUCUGGUUGUUUUCUGAAUAGAAAGCUGACAUUUUGAUAUAUUGCAGCCAUGGCCACAAGAAGA